RNAcentral lists this ribosomal RNA (253 nucleotides) under uncultured bacterium. RNAcentral's name for it is "partial 16S ribosomal RNA". It matches the Rfam family "Bacterial small subunit ribosomal RNA", at positions 524 to 776 of the family's 1533-position model. The record is from RNAcentral.
GACGAACCGAGCAAACGUUAUUCGGAAUCACUGGGCUUAAAGGGCGCGUAGGCGGGCCUUCAAGUCCGUGGUGAAAUCCGGCAGCUCAACUGUCGAACUGCCGCGGAUACUGGGUGUCUCGAGGGAGGUAGGGGCGUGCGGAACUAUUGGUGGAGCGGUGAAAUGCGUUGAUAUCAAUAGGAACUCCGGUGGCGAAGGCGGCACGCUGGACCUCUUCUGACGCUGAGGCGCGAAAGCCAGGGGAGCAAACGGG